GGCGGUUUAGUGUAGUGGCCUAGCACGCAUCUCUCUCACGGAUGAGACUCGGGUUCGAUUCCCGAAUCCGCUAC
Molecule: transfer RNA, 74 nt
Filed under: Coprobacter secundus subsp. similis
Lineage: Bacteria; Pseudomonadati; Bacteroidota; Bacteroidia; Bacteroidales; Barnesiellaceae
Description: tRNA-Glu
Rfam family: tRNA
About the family: Transfer RNA (tRNA) molecules are approximately 80 nucleotides in length. Their secondary structure includes four short double-helical elements and three loops (D, anti-codon, and T loops).
Source: RNAcentral